This 440-nucleotide ribosomal RNA is filed under the name uncultured bacterium. RNAcentral describes it as "partial 16S ribosomal RNA". It matches the Rfam family "Bacterial small subunit ribosomal RNA", at positions 338 to 795 of the family's 1533-position model. The record is from RNAcentral.
CCUACGGGUGGCAGCAGUGGGGGAUAUUGCACAAUGGGGGAAACCCUGAUGCAGCGACGCCGCGUGUGGGAAGACGGUCCUCUGGAUUGUAAACCACUUUCCCCAGGGACGAAGAUGACGGUACCUGGGGAGGAAGCUCCUGCUAACUACGUGCCAGCAGCCGCGGUAAUACGCAGGGAGCGAGCGUUUUCCGGAGUUACUGGGGGUAAGGGGAGCGUAGGCGGGCCGGCAAGUGGGAGGUAAAAUCUCCCGGCUCAACCGGUAGCCGCACUCGAAACUGGAGUUCUUGAGUGAAGUAGAGGCAGGCGGAAGGCCUGGUGUAGCGGUGAAAUGCGUAGAUAUUAGGAGGAACACCAGUGGCGAAGGCGGCCUGCCGGGCUUAUACUGACGCUGAGGCUCGAAAGUGUGGGGAGCAAACAGGAUUAGAUACCCGGGUAGUC